GACCCAUUAGUCAAGGGGUUAAGACAUGCCACUUUCACUGCUACACCCUGGGUUCGAUCCCCAGAUGGGUUA
This 72-nucleotide transfer RNA is filed under the name Exophiala mesophila. RNAcentral describes it as "partial tRNA-Glu". It matches the Rfam family "tRNA". Rfam says of the family: Transfer RNA (tRNA) molecules are approximately 80 nucleotides in length. Their secondary structure includes four short double-helical elements and three loops (D, anti-codon, and T loops). Lineage: Eukaryota; Fungi; Ascomycota; Eurotiomycetes; Chaetothyriales; Herpotrichiellaceae. The record is from RNAcentral.